GAUGAACGCUAGCUACAGGCUUAACACAUGCAAGUCGAGGGGUAGCAGGGUAGCAAUACCGCUGACGACCGGCGCACGGGUGAGUAACACGUAUCCAACCUUCCCAGAACUCGGGGAUCGCCUUUCGAAAGAAAUAUUAAUACCCGAUAGUUGUUAUAUAGGGCCUCCUACAUAAGUUAAAGAUUUAUUGGCUAUGGAUGGGGAUGCGUUCCAUUAGAUAGUUGGUGGGGUAACGGCUAACCAAGUAUUCGAUGGAUAGGGGUUAUGAGAGGAAGGUCCCCCACAUUGGUACUGAGACACGGACCAAACCCCUACGGGAGGCAGCAGUGAGGAAUAUUGGUCAAUGGGCGAGAGCCUGAACCAGCCAAGUAGCGUGAAGGAUGAAGGUCCUAUGGAUUGUAAACUUCUUUUAUAGUAGAAUAAAGUGAUCCACGUGUGGAUUUUUGUAUGUAUACUAUGAAUAAGGAUCGGCUAACUCCGUGCCAGCCGCCGCGGUAA
This 498-nucleotide ribosomal RNA is filed under the name uncultured bacterium. Its description in RNAcentral is "partial 16S ribosomal RNA". It matches the Rfam family "Bacterial small subunit ribosomal RNA", at positions 28 to 523 of the family's 1533-position model. The record is from RNAcentral.